RNAcentral lists this ribosomal RNA (253 nucleotides) under uncultured bacterium. Its description in RNAcentral is "partial 16S ribosomal RNA". It matches the Rfam family "Bacterial small subunit ribosomal RNA", at positions 524 to 776 of the family's 1533-position model. The record is from RNAcentral.
UACGGAGGGUGCAAGCGUUAAUCGGAAUUACUGGGCGUAAAGCGCACGCAGGUGGCUGAGUCAGUCGAUUGUGAAAGCCCUGGGCUUAACCUGGGAAUUGCAGUCGAUACUACUCAGCUAGAGUAUGGGAGAGGGUAGUGGAAUUCCCGGUGUAGCGGUGAAAUGCGUAGAUAUCGGGAGGAACAUCUGUGGCGAAAGCGGCGCACUGGACCACAACUGACGCUGAGGCGCGAAAGCUAGGGGAGCAAACAGG